UACGGAGGGUGCAAGCGUUAUCCGGAUUUACUGGGUUUAAAGGGUGUGUAGGCGGACAGGUAAGUCCGUGGUGAAAUCCCCGAGCUUAACUCGGGAACUGCCAUGGAUACUAUUUGUCUUGAAUAUCUUGGAGGUGAGCGGAAUACGUCAUGUAGCGGUGAAAUGCUUAGAUAUGACGUAGAACACCAAUUGCGAAGGCAGCUCACUACAUGAUCAUUGACGCUGAUGCACGAAAGCGUGGGGAGCGAACAGG
RNAcentral lists this ribosomal RNA (253 nucleotides) under uncultured bacterium. RNAcentral describes it as "partial 16S ribosomal RNA". It matches the Rfam family "Bacterial small subunit ribosomal RNA", at positions 524 to 776 of the family's 1533-position model. The record is from RNAcentral.